RNAcentral lists this ribosomal RNA (254 nucleotides) under uncultured bacterium. RNAcentral describes it as "partial 16S ribosomal RNA". It matches the Rfam family "Bacterial small subunit ribosomal RNA", at positions 524 to 776 of the family's 1533-position model. The record is from RNAcentral.
UACGUAGGGUCCAAGCGUUAUCCGGAAUCACUGGGCGUAAAGCGUGUGUAGGCGGCGUGUUAAGUGCGAUGCGAAAUCUUGUGGCUCAACCAUAUAGACGGUAUCGCAUACUGGCAUGCUAGAGGAUGGCAGAGGCAAGUGGAAUUGGUAGUGUAGCAGUGAAAUGCGUAGAUAUUACCAGGAACACCAAUGGCGAAGGCAGCUUGCUGGGCCAUAUCUGACGCUGAGACACGAAAGCGUGGGGAGCGAACAGG